This is a long non-coding RNA of Homo sapiens (human), 2767 nucleotides long. Ensembl annotates it as GARS1 divergent transcript. Its record names the gene GARS1-DT. The record is from Ensembl. NCBI's taxonomy places the organism in Eukaryota, Metazoa, Chordata, Mammalia, Primates, Hominidae.
CCGCCGCAGAUUCGACACAAAACCCGGAAGGACCCCGCCGAAGGUUUUCUCCGGUUCGGGAGAGAGACGGAGUCCCGCUCUGUCACGCAGGCUGCCAGGCUGGCGUACAGUGGCGCAAUCUCAGCUCGCUGCAACCUCCACCUCCUGGGUUCAAGCGAUUUUCUUGCCUCUGCCUCCUGAGUAGCUGGGAUUACUGGCACACACCACCAUGCACAGUUGCAGGAAUUUAGCCAAUUCAGAGGUCUUGUUCUCCAUAAUUUGGAAUUUUCCUUCGGAUUUGAUCAAGUUGGAUAGAGUUGGUCAAACCCAAUGGGAAAAAGAUGAAAACAACAAGAAACAGAAACAAACAGCAACAACAACAACAACAAAAACAAUGCAUUUAAUUAAAUGAAGAUGAGCUCAUGCUGGAGUAGGGUGGACUCUGAACCCAGUGGGACAAGCGUCCUUAUUAAGAAGAGGGAAAUCUGGACACACACAGAGCAGAGACCGCCGUGUGAAGAUGGAGGCAGAGAUCGGAGAGAUGCUGCCACACGCCACAAAUGCCUGGGGCUCCCAGAAACUACACGGAGCCUCCCCCAGCGGCUUCAGCAGGAGCAUGGCUCGGCCAACACUUUGAUCUUGGUCUUCCAGCCUCCAGAACGGUGAGUCGGCUUCCGGUCCACACGGACAGCUCUGACCCCGAGAAGAUUCUUUGUCUUAGACAAACAUCUGCCUCCCUGUAACUUCGGUUCACCGAUACUUGCUCUGCACUCCAGGGCCAUACAGAACCCCUCUGCUCCCUCUGCCCUUAGCCAUUGGCUCCUAGGAGACACUAGCUUGUCCGGCCGUCGCUUUAAACUGUCUAGUUCCAACUCCCUCAGAACUUCCUCAGUGAUGCAGUUUCCUGACGGUCAUAUUGCCUGGAUAAGCUCCAGUAUGUUCAACUCCCUCUGUGGUUCAGCAACCAGGACUAAACAGGAUUCACCUGAUGCACAUUCUAACCAGAGUCAAGAGGGCAGAAGCAUCGCCUCCUGCGUUCCAAGCUCAAUAUCUCAAUUGUAAUCCCCACAUGUCAAGGGAGGGGCUUGGUGGGAGGUGAUUGGAUCAUGGGGGUGGUUUGCCCCAUGCUGUUCUCAUAAUAGUGAGGGGUUUCUCACGAGAUCUGAUGGUUUUAUAAGGGGCUCUUUCCCCUUUGUGCACCCUCUCUCUUUCCUGCUUCCUUGUGAAGAAGGUACUUGCUUCUCUUUCUCCUGCCAAAGCAUGACCUUAUAAUUGUAAGUUUCCGGAGGCCUCCCCAGCCAUGCGGAACUGUGAGUCAAUGAAACCUCUUUCUUUUAUAAGUGACCCAGUCUUGGGUAUUUCUUUAUAGCAGUGUGAAAAUGGACUAACACAGAUAUUUGGCAGGCAUCCAGUAGUCUUCGAUAAACACAACCACCAUCUAGUGGCCAGAACAGCCUUAUCGGACCCCACUGUCUGCAAUGAAAAGCUGUUCCUUUCCUCAUCCUUUACAGGGCCAAGCACCCAGCAUCCUGGGACAGUGGCCCCGUGUGCCCAGCUUUGAGGAUGAGCUCAUGCCUGGUUGCUCUGGGUGGAGAGAGGGAAGAGUUGAAUCAACAUCCAUAUGUAUAAAUCUCCUUUUGUGCAUUUAGAAUCACGUCCUUAGAAUAAAUUGCGAUCAGUGGCAUUACUGAAGCAAAUUGUAUCAAAAAUGCAAAAAAGACCCAUUUUUCCAAAUUGUUUUCUAACAAGGAAGUCAUAUUGUUUGCUUUUUGAUACUGUUCUUUAGAAAACGAUGCAUGAGAGUUUUACAUUUCAUAUAGUGUGUUCUAUUUAUUUUAUACUUUGCAAUUUCUGUAAUUUUUAAGCACUGUUCUUCCCAUACUAGAGGCUCUGCUCUAACUAUUCAACUUUUGUUUGUCCUAGUUUUCCUAAAAUUCCCUUUUCCACUGGUGUGUGGUGCAAGAUGAGGCACAUUUUCCAUGGAUGGUGAACAGAGGGAGGAGCCUUUUGAUCACAACCAGGUCACCCCACUUCUAAGCCACUGUGCCUCCAGCCCCACAAGACUAAGGAGAGAGAGCGCAGCGUGGUGGAGAGUGAGCUGUGCUGGGACCAUUGUUUCCGUAACCUCGUUUUCUGUGUCCAGCUGACACACCUUCAAAGUGGCAUCAGGUCCUAAACUGUAGCUUGCAAUGUGCCUGUUUCCAGAAACCAAGGUGAAAGUGCUUUUAGACAGUGUUCCCAUGCAAGAGUCCCUUCCCAGCUUUUUUCUGGAAAUGCAUGUUUCUCUGAACUCUGAGUCCCAAGAAAAAUCACUUGAGACACCAAGAAAAUGGGGGAAGUGCUAAAAUUGUGUGGGAAUUCAAGCUUAACAAUAAACAUCAAGACAUUUUUGAUAAAAAUGAAUCCACUGACAUCGGGGAGGAGCAAGAGAACAGCACGCUGACACUGGGUCAGAGGCUAAGACCGACAUUUCUGGGAACCACUCCCGGAAGGGCACAGAGGAGACGCUUUCAGCCUCUCAUCAGCCAGCCUGGCCUGUAGCUGCUGCACGUUAUGAGUGUGUUCCUGGCAUGACUGCUUCUAACAGUGAGUUUUCUGGCAAAUCAAAUAAAUACUAAUAAGUCUGUAUGCACAUUAUACUUUAUACAAAUCCUAUGAGUGAUGUUCCAGAAAUAACAAGUUUUGAAGGCAAAAUAAGUCCUUAAAUUGGCAACUUUGACACAUAAUUCCAUGUAGUAGUUAAUCUUGCUAGAAGAUCCCAAUGUUGUUAUUCUAAUACAAUCUGAUA